CCGACUGCAGCGCAGUCCCAGGGAGCCCUCAGAGACAAAAGUCGUGGUGCUGGCAGGUGAAUCGAGCCCUUGUCUACCCAGAAGAGCUGGGGCAAGUAGCGAUGGUGCGCUGUGUGCUUCCAUCGAUGGAGGGCUCUUAGGAAGCACGAGUCACUGUGGUUCAGAUGACAGGCUUCCACAUA
Non-coding RNA from Phasianus colchicus (ring-necked pheasant), 182 nucleotides. The record is from RefSeq and is a predicted model, not a curated record. NCBI's taxonomy places the organism in Eukaryota, Metazoa, Chordata, Aves, Galliformes, Phasianidae.